This 115-nucleotide non-coding RNA is filed under the name Sexangularia sp. CB-2014. The record is from RNAcentral. Lineage: Eukaryota; Tubulinea; Elardia; Arcellinida.
UCGAAACGAAACAAAGAUAAGACAAACAGUAGACGAACAACGAGCAACAAGACAGCCAGGGUUCAUUCGUAUUGUUUCGGUUGUUUUUUUGGUUUUUUGUUUUUUUUUUCUUUUU